Molecule: long non-coding RNA, 744 nt
Organism: Venturia canescens
Lineage: Eukaryota; Metazoa; Arthropoda; Insecta; Hymenoptera; Ichneumonidae
Exons: 3
Source: RefSeq, a predicted model, not a curated record
ACAUGUUAUAUGUGAAUGGAAAUGCAAAGCUUUUCCUGAGUCCUGAAUCGUUUUCUUUAAUGAUUACGAAUUACACAUAAUUUUGUCCUAAAACUACCGAGUCUCUUGAAUAUAACCUCAAACGAAAUGCUAUAAAAGCUAUAAAAAGUCUUCCGAAUAUUUUGUUAUUUCCGACGCACUGUCCAGCGACCAGGUUACCGUACUAUUUUAUAUUAGGCUAAUCAUCCGAAUUCUAUAUUGCUGAGAAUUUUUAUCGUUCAUCGAAUUGGACGAAUAAACGUCUUAUUCGUUCGGAUUUGUAACAGUAGUGCUCGUUUGGUAACAGUGCGUUGAAAAAAUAAACAUGAUGUCUUCAUAACAUAUUUCUGGAAGAAUAACUUUAUUUGUACGGUUGCCAGACGAUUAGAUAUGACUAUUUUUAAUUCGCUGGGAAAAAAUGGUUUGUGAGAAGUGUGAACAAAAAUUGGGCAAAGUGAUAACACCUGAUCCUUGGAAAUGUGGAGCUCGAAAUACAGUAGAAAGUGGAGGACGUAAAGAUAUGCAGACAAAAGGUUCAUCAGGUUGGCUCGCAUUAUUGUCAAGCUUGUGCCUACAAAAAAGCCAUUUGUGCCAUGUGCGGCAAAAAACUCAUGAGUACAAAAAAUUACAAGCAGUCAGCGACAUGAAUAUCCAAGGAAUCAUUGAAUUCUUUGAAUAAAUUUAUUGAGUAUAUUUGUAACACCGAAGUACAAGCAAAAUCUGUCA